AAACGGACAGUGGACAGAUUGCAGAGAGCUCUGUGUGCUGAGAGGAGGGUGCAGACCAGAUUUUUAAAUUGAGAAUGCAACAGUGAAGGAUUUCAAGCUUGGAGUGAGAGGGGAGACUACGAGCCUGCAGUGAUAAGGCAAAGCUGAAGAUUUCAGAGCCAAGGCCACACCCUACAGUUGCCAUGGAAUGGGGUGGCACAGUGGGCUUUGGAGAUAUACAGGGAGUCCACGGAGCCUCCCCUGCAAGCAUCAGUACAGAAGUCGAUGAUAAUCUGGAUGCAAGCCCAGGAGUGUGGAGUCCACUGACUCAGAAGACCUGCAUCUAAGGAAUUGGCUGUUCUUAUCCUUAAGAAUGAUGACUGUGUUUCCAAUUCCAGUAGACCCUUUGAUGCGUUCUGAAUAAAUAUUCCUUUUGGAAUUGAACUUCUAGAGCCCUUAACUUUGGCCCACUCUAGUUUUCUGUCUGUUUUUUUUUUUUUUAAUAUUUUUUUUUUGUAAAGAUAAGGUCUUGCUUUGUUGCCCAGGCUGGUCUUGAAUUCCUGGACUCAAGCAAUCCACCUGCCUUGGCCUCCCAAAGUGCUGGGAUUAUAGGUGUGAACCAUUGUGUCCGAUCGCUCUCUGGUUUUUCUAAUAUCAUGAUCCCAACUCUGUUCUUUAUGUAAAUUUCCCUGAUCACAUGGUUGUAUCUUGGCAUUUCAAAAUCCUUGACAGACUUUGUUUUGUUUGAAUUUUACAAUGAACUUACAUGACUAGGCACGGUCCCCAGUUCAGUUUUAUAGACAAGGAUUCUGUAGGUCAAGAAGUGAAACACAACCAAUAACAGCAGGUGACAGGAUUUAAACCUGGGUCACUUUACUUAUUUUUUUCUACUCUAUCAUUAUGUGAAUCUAUCCUACCUCUGCAAUGACAGAUGGCCCUAGAGCAAGAACACUU
RNAcentral lists this long non-coding RNA (933 nucleotides) under Homo sapiens (human). RNAcentral's name for it is "non-protein coding LINC02217:38". Lineage: Eukaryota; Metazoa; Chordata; Mammalia; Primates; Hominidae. The record is from RNAcentral.